GAUGAACGCUGGCGGCAUGCCUAAUACAUGCAAGUCGAGCGGACGGACGGGAAGCUUGCUUCUCUGAUGUUAGCGGCGGGCGGGUGAGUAACACGUAGAUAACCUACCUAUAUGACUGGGAUGACUUCGGGAGACCGGAUAUAAUACCGGAUGAUAUUUUGAACCGCAUGGAUCAAAAGAGAACGACGGUUUUGCUGUCACUUAUAGAUGGUUCCGCGCUGCAUUAGCUAGUUGGUAAGGUAACGGCUUACCAAGGCAACGAUGCAUAGCCGAGCUGAGAGGGUGAUCGGCCACACUGGAACUGAGACACGGUCCAGACUCCUACGGGAGGCAGCAGUAGGGAAUCUUGCGCAAUGGGCGAAAGCCUGACGGAGCAACGCCGCGUGAGUGAUGAAGGUCUUCGGAUCGUAAAACUCUGUUAUUAGGGAAGAACAUAUGUGUAAGUAAAUGUGCACAUCUUGACGGUACCUAAUCAGAAAGCAACGGCUAACUACGUG
Molecule: ribosomal RNA, 497 nt
Filed under: uncultured bacterium
Lineage: Bacteria
Description: partial 16S ribosomal RNA
Rfam family: Bacterial small subunit ribosomal RNA
Source: RNAcentral